Oncorhynchus tshawytscha (Chinook salmon) is the source of this 395-nucleotide long non-coding RNA. NCBI's taxonomy places the organism in Eukaryota, Metazoa, Chordata, Actinopteri, Salmoniformes, Salmonidae. The record is from Ensembl.
ACACAGACAGACAGACAGACACACAGACAGACACACAGAGACAGGUAGACACACACACACACAGACAGGUAGACACAUACAGACAGGUAGACACACACACAGACAGACACACACACACACAGACAGAGACACACACAGACAGAGACAGACAGACAGACAGACAGAGACAGACAGACACACACAGACAGAGACAGACAGACAGACACACACACAGACAGACACACACACACACAGACAGACAGACACACACACAGACAGACACACACAGACACACACAGACAGACACACACACACACAGACAGACACACACACAGACAGACAGACACACACACACAGACAGACACACACACACAGACAGACACACACAGACACACAGAGACAGACACACACACACA